RNAcentral lists this ribosomal RNA (374 nucleotides) under uncultured eukaryote. Its description in RNAcentral is "partial 18S ribosomal RNA". It matches the Rfam family "Eukaryotic small subunit ribosomal RNA", at positions 592 to 976 of the family's 1831-position model. The record is from RNAcentral.
UAAUAGCGUAUAUUAAAGUUGUUGCAGUUAAAAAGCUCGUAGUCGGAUGUCGGGCUCGGAGAGGCUGUCGGCCUUUGGUCGGACGGCAACUCCGGGCCUUUCUGCCUGGGGAUCCUACUCUGCUUAACCGCAGGGUAGUGGGACGCAGGCCGUUUACUUUGAAAAAAUUAGAGUGUUCAAAGCAGGCCUACGCUUGAAUACAUUAGCAUGGAAUAAUGGAAUAGGACUUUGGUCUUAUUUGUUGGUUUAUGGGACCGAAGUAAUGAUUAACAGGGACAGUUGGGGCCGUUUAUAUUCCGUAGUCAGAGGUGAAAUUCUUGGAUUUACGGAAGAUAAACUACUGCGAAAGCAUUCGGCAAGGAUGUUUUCGUUAA